This 330-nucleotide ribosomal RNA is filed under the name uncultured Acidobacteriota bacterium. Its description in RNAcentral is "bacterial SSU rRNA". It matches the Rfam family "Bacterial small subunit ribosomal RNA", at positions 568 to 898 of the family's 1533-position model. Lineage: Bacteria; Pseudomonadati; Acidobacteriota. The record is from RNAcentral.
UGUGUAGGCGGUUCUCUAAGUUCGGUGUGAAAUCUCCCGGCUUAACUGGGAGGGUGCGCCGAAAACUGGAGGGCUUGAGUAUGGGAGAGGAAAGCGGAAUUCCUGGUGUAGCGGUGAAAUGCGUAGAUAUCAGGAGGAACACCUGCGGUGUAGACGGCUUUCUGGACCAUCACUGACGCUGAGACACGAAAGCGUGGGUAGCAAACAGGAUUAGAUACCCUGGUAGUCCACGCCCUAAACGAUGCAUACUUGGUGUGAGCCGUUCAUUCGGUUCGUGCCGGAGCUAACGCGUUAAGUAUGCCGCCUGGGGAGUACGGUCGCAAGGCUGAA